Molecule: ribosomal RNA, 468 nt
Filed under: uncultured bacterium
Lineage: Bacteria
Description: partial 16S ribosomal RNA
Rfam family: Bacterial small subunit ribosomal RNA
Source: RNAcentral
GACGAACGCUGGCGGCGUGCUUAACACAUGCAAGUCGAACGGAAAGGCCCUGCUUUUGUGGGGUGCUCGAGUGGCGAACGGGUGAGUAACACGUGAGUAACCUGCCACUGACUUUGGGAUAACUUCAGGAAACUGGGGCUAAUACCGGAUAGGAGCUCCUGCUGCAUGGUGGGGGUUGGAAAGUUUCGGCGGUUGGGGAUGGACUCGCGGCUUAUCAGCUUGUUGGGGGGGUAGUGGCUUACCAUGGCUUUGACGGGUAGCCGGCCUGGGCGGGGGACCGGCCACAUUAGGAUUGGGAUACGACCCAGCCUCGAACGGGAGGCAGCGGUGGGGAAUAUUGUACAAGGGGCGGAGGCCUGGUGUGGCAACGCCGCGUGCGGUAAGACGGCCUGCGGGUAGUAAACCGCUUUCGCCUGUGACGAGGCGUUAGUGACGGUAAUGGGUAAAGAAGCACCGGCUAACUACGUG